AUAAAUUAGUUUUAUUUUUGUUAAAAAAUUUAAUUAAAUAAAAUUUUACAUAUAAAAAUUUUUGGAAAAUUUUUUAUUUUAGAUAAAUAAAUUUUAAUUUAAAGUAUUGUUUAAUUUUAAAUAGUAGUAAUUAAUAUUAUUAUUUUAAUUUAUGUUAAAUUGUAGUUAUUAUUUAAAAAUAUUGAUUAAAUUUGUGCCAGCAAUCGCGGUUACACAAAUAAUAUAAUUAAAUUUAUUUUAAUAUAAGUAAAAAAUAUUAAUUUAUAAAUUUUUAUAUUUAUAAUAAAUUUAAAGAUAAAUUUUUAAGUGAAAUUUAAAUUUUAUUAAUAAUUUUAUAAAAAAAAUUUUUUGAGUCUUUGAAAAUUUAAUUAUAAACUAGGAUUAGAUACCCUAUUAUUUAAAUUGUAAAAUUUAAUAGAUUAAGGUAGUAUUAAUUAAUUUUUUAAAACUUAAAAAAUUUGGCGGUAUUUUAUUCUGUUUAGAGGAAUUUGUUUUGUAAUCGAUAAUCCACGUAUAUUUUACUUUUUUUUGUUUGCAGCUUAUAUAUCGUUGUCAUCAGAAUAUUUUAAAAGAAAAAAUAAUUUUCUUAAUUUUUAAUUAAAAUUUAUGUCAAAUCAAGGUAUAGUUUAUAAAAAUGUAAUAAUGAAUUACAAUAAAGUUUAUUUAUUAUGGAUAAUAAAAUUAAAUAUUAAUAUUUGAAAGUGGAUUUAAAAGUAAAUUAAUUUAUAAAAAUUAAUUGAUUAAAGUUUUAAAAUAUGCACAUAUCGCCCGUCGCUCUCGUUAUUUAAUUAAUUUUAAAUGAGAUAAGUCGUAACAUAGUAGAUGUAUCGGAAGAUGUUUCUAGAAAUA
This 849-nucleotide non-coding RNA is filed under the name Phaenopsectra flavipes. Lineage: Eukaryota; Metazoa; Arthropoda; Insecta; Diptera; Chironomidae. The record is from RNAcentral.